Small nucleolar RNA from Epinephelus moara (kelp grouper), 137 nucleotides. RefSeq annotates it as small nucleolar RNA SNORA69. The transcript has a single exon. Lineage: Eukaryota; Metazoa; Chordata; Actinopteri; Perciformes; Serranidae. The record is from RefSeq and is a predicted model, not a curated record.
AAAGCAGGUCUGCAAUUGCAGCACUCCGUUGCAGUAGAGUGCUGUCAUUAACCCUGCUGAGAGCAUCUUUCUGCUACAGAGCUCUGACUCCUGCUCACUGUGGUGGUGAUUAGGAGGCUCUCUGUAGCCGAACAUUU